CGCGUCGAAUCGGUUGGAUUAAAGACAACAAAAUCCCCGCGACCGAACUUGUCGGAAACACCGGGAUCGGGAAGAAGAAACGGGACCGGGGACACAAUAAUAUAAUAGGUAACGCACGAUAAACAAAUGAAAUAAAAACGUCUCACUCGGUGUCGUAUAAAUUCAAUGUCGCGAAAUUAUCUAUACCUAUUACCCUCAUUUCGUUCGCUUAUCUCACCGUUCUCCGAUUUGCUCGUAGCAAUUGGCUCAGAAAUAUUGCCAAACGUGAAUUUUACCAUCGUCCUCAAAUGUCACACGGUCGCGCCAUCAUGGUGAAUAACGACAGUCUUCGGGCCGGAGGUAAUGAAUUGGUCUCUUCAUCCCUCAUCGUGUCCCGCGAAUU
This is a non-coding RNA of Cinara cedri, 382 nucleotides long. The record is from the annotation of a GenBank genome assembly. NCBI's taxonomy places the organism in Eukaryota, Metazoa, Arthropoda, Insecta, Hemiptera, Aphididae.